GCCUGGGUGGCUCAGUCGGUUAAGCGUCUGACUUCAGCUCAGGUCAUGAUCUCGCGGUCCGUGGGUUCAAGCCCCGCAUCGGGCU
RNAcentral lists this transfer RNA (85 nucleotides) under Felis catus (domestic cat). It matches the Rfam family "tRNA". From Rfam's summary of the family: Transfer RNA (tRNA) molecules are approximately 80 nucleotides in length. Their secondary structure includes four short double-helical elements and three loops (D, anti-codon, and T loops). Further hydrogen bonds mediate the characteristic L-shaped molecular structure. tRNAs have two regions of fundamental functional importance: the anti-codon, which is responsible for specific mRNA codon recognition, and the 3' end, to which the tRNAs corresponding amino acid is attached (by aminoacyl-tRNA synthetases). tRNAs cope with the degeneracy of the genetic code in two manners: having more than one tRNA (with a specific anti-codon) for a particular amino acid; and 'wobble' base-pairing, i.e. permitting non-standard base-pairing at the 3rd anti-codon position. Lineage: Eukaryota; Metazoa; Chordata; Mammalia; Carnivora; Felidae. The record is from Rfam by way of RNAcentral.